Molecule: ribosomal RNA, 720 nt
Filed under: uncultured Actinomycetes bacterium
Lineage: Bacteria; Bacillati; Actinomycetota; Actinomycetes
Description: bacterial SSU rRNA
Rfam family: Bacterial small subunit ribosomal RNA
Source: RNAcentral
GCUGGCGGCGUGCUUAACACAUGCAAGUCGAACGAGGUCCAACCGAACUUCGGUUUGGUGACGACCUAGUGGCGAACGGGUGCGUAACACGUGAGAAACCUGCCCCGGUCUCUGGGAUAACAGUCGGAAACGACUGCUAAUACCGGAUACCGUCGGACCACCGCAUGGUGGACCGACGAAAGGGUUACCGGAUCGGGAGGGUCUCGCGGCCUAUCAGCUUGUUGGUGAGGUAACGGCUCACCAAGGCAUUGACGGGUAGCUGGUCUGAGAGGAUGAUCAGCCACACUGGGACUGAGACACGGCCCAGACUCCUACGGGAGGCAGCAGUGGGGAAUAUUGCACAAUGGGCGAAAGCCUGAUGCAGCAACGCCGCGUGCGGGAAGAAGGCCCUAGGGUUGUAAACCGCUUUCAGCAGGGAAGAAAAUGACGGUACCUGCAGAAGAAGGUGCGGCCAACUACGUGCCAGCAGCCGCGGUGACACGUAGGCACCAAGCGUUGUCCGGAUUUAUUGGGCGUAAAGAGCUCGUAGGCGGUUCAGUAAGUCGGGUGUGAAAACUCUGGGCUCAACCCAGAGACGCCACCCGAUACUGCUGUGACUCGAGUGCGGUAGGGGAGCGGGGAAUUCCUAGUGUAGCGGUGAAAUGCGCAGAUAUUAGGAGGAACACCAGUGGCGAAGGCGCCGCUCUGGGCCGUAACUGACGCUGAGGAGCGAAAGCGUGG